AACAUCGCGCACCUGCGGGAACCUGCGGAAGGAUCAUUACAGAGUUGCAAAACUCCCUAAACCAUUGUGAACGUUACCUAAACCGCUGCUUCGGCGGGCGGCCCGGGUCCUUCCCGGCGCCCAUCGGCCCUCGCGGGCGCCCGCCGGAGGUAAACCAAACUAUUGCAUUGUAUGGCCUCUCUGAGUCUUCUGUACUGAAUAAGUCAAAACUUUCAACAAUGGAUCUCAGAUCGGAAGAGC
This 240-nucleotide unclassified non-coding RNA is filed under the name soil metagenome. Its description in RNAcentral is "partial contains 5.8S ribosomal RNA, internal transcribed spacer 2, and large subunit ribosomal RNA". The record is from RNAcentral.